RNAcentral lists this ribosomal RNA (103 nucleotides) under Monopterus albus (swamp eel). The record is from RNAcentral. Lineage: Eukaryota; Metazoa; Chordata; Actinopteri; Synbranchiformes; Synbranchidae.
GCCUACGGCCAUGCUACUCUGGGCACGCCUGAUAUUUGAAGCAGCACUGGGCCUGGUCAGUACCUGCAUGCAAGACUACCUGGCACACCAGAUGCUGUAGGUU